RNAcentral lists this long non-coding RNA (296 nucleotides) under Nicotiana benthamiana. RNAcentral describes it as "long non-coding RNA (NBEN_LNC012592)". Lineage: Eukaryota; Viridiplantae; Streptophyta; Magnoliopsida; Solanales; Solanaceae. The record is from RNAcentral.
GUAUAAUCAUUCAAGUAUCUAGAUCCUUCCAUGGACUAGUAUAAAUAUGUGAUGUUGUAACUCAUUUUGUAAUAAAGAAAAUCAAUAAAAUAACAAAAGCCUUCUUCAAUAUAAAGUUUUAUCUCCAUUCAAAUUCUCUACAUUUCCUAAACUCUUUUCUUCUCAUUCUAAAUAUUACUCUCCUUCUCCAACAAAUUUGGUAUCAGAGCCCGGGUUUAGCCUUGUGUUCCAUUACAAACCACCAUGGCAACACAAUCAUCUUCAUCAUCUUUAUUCAACUAUUCACAAAAUCNNNN